RNAcentral lists this ribosomal RNA (433 nucleotides) under uncultured bacterium. RNAcentral's name for it is "partial 16S ribosomal RNA". It matches the Rfam family "Bacterial small subunit ribosomal RNA", at positions 29 to 507 of the family's 1533-position model. The record is from RNAcentral.
AACGAACGCUGGCGGCAUGCCUAACACAUGCAAGUCGAACGAGACCUUCGGGUCUAGUGGCGCACGGGUGCGAAACGCGUGGGAACCUGCCCUUAGGUUCGGAAUAACUCCCCGAAAGGGGUGCUAAUACCGGGUAAUGUCUUCGGACCAAAGAUUUAUCGCCUUUGGAUGGGCCCGCGUUGGAUUAGCUAGUUGGUAGGGUAAAAGCCUACCAAGGCGACGAUCCAUAGCUGGUCUGAGAGGAUGAUCAGCCACACUGGGACUGAGACACGGCCCAGACUCCUACGGGAGGCAGCAGUGGGGAAUAUUUGACAAGGGGCGAAAGGCUGCUCCAGCAAUGGCGCGUGAGCGAUGAAGGCCUUAUGGUUGUAUAGCUCUUUUACCCGGGAUGAUAAUGACAGUACCGGGAGAAUAAGCUCCGGCUAACUCCGUG